GACGAACGCUGGCGGCGUGCUUAACACAUGCAAGUCGAGCGGUAAGGCCCUUUCGGGGGUACACGAGCGGCGAACGGGUGAGUAACACGUGGGUGACCUGCCCUCAGCUCUGGGAUAAGCCUGGGAAACCGGGUCUAAUACUGGAUAUGACUCCAUGACGCAUGUUGUGGGGUGGAAAGCCUUGUGCGGCUGAGGAUGGGCCCGCGGCCUAUCAGCUUGUUGGUGGGGUGANGGCCUACCAAGGCGACGACGGGUAGCCGGCCUGAGAGGGCGACCGGCCACACUGGGACUGAGACACGGCCCAGACUCCUACGGGAGGCAGCAGUAAGGAAUAUUGGACAAUGGCCGCAAGGCUGAUCCAGCCAUGCCGCGUGCAGGAUGACAGUGCUCUGCACCGU
This 398-nucleotide ribosomal RNA is filed under the name uncultured bacterium. RNAcentral describes it as "bacterial SSU rRNA". It matches the Rfam family "Bacterial small subunit ribosomal RNA", at positions 28 to 426 of the family's 1533-position model. The record is from RNAcentral.